This 919-nucleotide long non-coding RNA is filed under the name Mytilus galloprovincialis (Mediterranean mussel). The record is from RNAcentral. Lineage: Eukaryota; Metazoa; Mollusca; Bivalvia; Mytilida; Mytilidae.
GGAUUAAACUCUGUAGGCAAUUGUGCUACUCUUGUUGGCGGCCCUUCCCCUCUCUUCCUCCGCCACCCUAAUUUUUGCCAAAACUUGUGAGUUUCAAGAUAAUAUUUAUUUAUAAUGGCUAUAUGCCCGCACACAACACCAAUAUGAUACCUCAGGCCUCAACUCCACAACCGUUUUGGGGAAAAUUUGGACCGGAAACUGGUAAGAAAUAUCAACAGGUACACUUUUUCUUUUAUUGUACCCUGCAAAUGAAUCAUCACGGGAACAGGUUGAAUUGUUUUCCUUGUUGUUGCUAAAUCAUACAUCAGUUUCCUUUGCGUCUCAACAUAUAUUCAGUAUAUGCGAUUUAUAAAUACAUGUAUAUCUAACCUAGAUUCAGUAUUAAUAUAAUGUAUUGUUGACCUGUACAUCUGUUACAUGUCAAGCUAAAUCUGCAUAGUCCUUUUUGAUUAAAAAAUGGAUUCGAUUUUUCAAUCUAGACCGGAUGUUUAGUGGUUGGUGCCCUCUAUGAAUUAAUUAAAUGUUGGGGUCCUACUAAAAUGCGCCCGGGAGCGCCCGGGGAAAAGAAAAAGCGCCCGGAGAAGAAAAUAUAGCGCCCGGGGAACAGAAAAGGCGCCCGGGAAAAAUAUAUAGAUAUUUUAUUGGCAUGCUCAAAAGGUCUUAUUACAUGUAGGUGUUGAUAUUUGUAUAAGAGCAAUGUCCUGUUUCGGUUUACAUCCUCGUUCUUUGGUUUCUGGUCGAUAGGCUAGUUAUCUCAUUGACAAACAAAUGUGACAACAUAUACCAAUUUAUCAGUAAAUAAAAUGUGUUCAAAAAAGAACAACUAAAGAAAUUGUUUAUUUGAUUCAGUUAUUAUAUAAAGGUUAUUGAUAUUUAGUCAAUAAACGGGUAAAUGUACAGGCAAAUAUGACUACUAUUA